RNAcentral lists this ribosomal RNA (468 nucleotides) under uncultured bacterium. RNAcentral's name for it is "partial 16S ribosomal RNA". It matches the Rfam family "Bacterial small subunit ribosomal RNA", at positions 28 to 507 of the family's 1533-position model. The record is from RNAcentral.
GACGAACGCUGGCGGCGUGCUUAACACAUGCAAGUCGAACGGAAAGGCCCUGCUUUUGUGGGGUGCUCGAGUGGCGAACGGGUGAGUAACACGUGAGUAACCUGCCCUUGACUUUGGGAUAACUUCAGGAAACUGGGGCUAAUACCGGAUAGGAGCUCCUGCUGCAUGGUGGGGGUUGGAAAGUUUCGGCGGUUGGGGAUGGACUCGCGGCUUAUCAGCUUGUUGGUGGGGUAGUGGCUUACCAAGGCUUUGACGGGUAGCCGGCCUGAGAGGGUGACCGGCGACAUUGGGACUGAGAUACGGCGCAGACUCCUACGGGAGGCAGCAGUGGGGAGUAUUGCACAAUGGGCGGAAGCCUGAUGCAGCAACGCCGCGUGCGGGAUGACGGCCUUCGGGUUGUGAACCGCUUUCGCCUGUGACGAAGCGUGAGUGACGGUAAUGGGUAAAGAAGCACCGGCUAACUACGUG